AGUAAAAGUUGUAACAAGGUCUCCGUUGGUGAACCAGCGGAGGGAUCAUUACAGAGUUACUUAAAAACUCCCAACCCUUUGUGAACUUACCACUGUUGCCUCGGCGUUGGCUGCGGCUACCCUAUAGUUACCCUGUAGGCAACUACCCUGUACCUAUCUCGUAGUUCGCUUAGGCCCGUCGGAGGACCACUGAACUCCUGUUUUUACUGUGAAUAUUUGAAUGCUUCAACUGAAAUAAGUUAAAACUUUCAACAACGGAUCUUUUGGUUCUGGCAUCGAUGAAGAACGCAGCGAAAUGCGAUAAGUAAUGUGAAUUGCAGAAUUCAGUGAAUCAUCGAAUCUUUGAACGCACAUUGCGCCCAUUAGUAUUUUAGUGGGCAUGCCUAUUCGAGCGUCAUUUCAACCCUUAAGCCCCUGUUGCUUAGCGUUGGGAGACUGAGCCCCCCCCCCGGGGGCCCAGCUCCUUAAAAGUAGUGGCGAUGUCGUGGCACAUCCUAAGCGUAGUAAUUUUCUUCUCGCUUCUGUGAUUGUCGCGGCUAUCUGCCGUAAAACCCCCUAUAUUUCUAGUGGUUGACCUCGGAUUAGGUAGGAAUACCCGCUGAACUUAAGCAUAUCAAUAAGCGGAGGAAAAGAAACCAACAGGGAUUGCCCCAGUAACG
RNAcentral lists this ribosomal RNA (659 nucleotides) under uncultured fungus. RNAcentral's name for it is "eukaryotic LSU rRNA". The stretch from base 244 to 397 matches the Rfam family "5.8S ribosomal RNA". The record is from RNAcentral. Lineage: Eukaryota; Fungi.